Molecule: ribosomal RNA, 301 nt
Filed under: uncultured bacterium
Lineage: Bacteria
Description: partial 16S ribosomal RNA
Rfam family: Bacterial small subunit ribosomal RNA
Source: RNAcentral
CAGUCGCCACGGGAAUACGAAGGGGGCUAGCGUUGUUCGGAAUUACUGGACGUAAAGGGCGCGUAGGCGGCGGCCAAAGUCAGGCGUGAAAUUCCCGGGCUCAACCUGGGGGCUGCGUUUGAUACUUGGUUGCUUGAGUGGGGAAGAGGGUCGUGGAAUUCCCAGUGUAGAGGUGAAAUUCGUAGAUAUUGGGAAGAACACCGGUGGCGAAGGCGGCGACCUGGUCCUUUACUGACGCUGAGGCGCGAAAGCGUGGGGAGCAAACAGGAUUAGAUACCCCCGUAGUCCCUGUCUCUUAUAC